UACGGGGGGGGCAAGCGUUGUCCGGAUUUAUUGGGCGUAAAGAGCGUGUAGGCGGCCAUGUAGGUCCGUUGUGAAAACUCGAGGCUCAACCUCGAGACGCCGAUGGAAACCAUGUGGCUAGAGUCCGGAAGAGGAGAGUGGAAUUCCUGGUGUAGCGGUGAAAUGCGCAGAUAUCAGGAGGAACACCGGUGGCGAAGGCGGCUUGCUGGGCCUUACCUGACGCUGAGGAGCGAAAGCGUGGGGAGCGAACAGG
This 253-nucleotide ribosomal RNA is filed under the name uncultured bacterium. Its description in RNAcentral is "partial 16S ribosomal RNA". It matches the Rfam family "Bacterial small subunit ribosomal RNA", at positions 524 to 776 of the family's 1533-position model. The record is from RNAcentral.